Molecule: long non-coding RNA, 335 nt
Filed under: Carica papaya (papaya)
Lineage: Eukaryota; Viridiplantae; Streptophyta; Magnoliopsida; Brassicales; Caricaceae
Description: long non-coding RNA (CPAP_LNC015346)
Source: RNAcentral
UGCUAAUGGGCCCAUAAGCAUGAAUGAUGACGACCGAAGUGACCUUACGAGAUGGCAACAGGAGAGAAAGUGUGAUUGCAUGAUUUUACGGGUAAUAUAUUGUUAUUGUUAUUGAUUGUGCACCUAUCCAUAACUAGUUGGUGUCUGUAUUGCCCUCCUUAGAAAUAAAUAAUAGCGGUUGUGCACAUAGGUUUGUAUAUAGUGAAACCUAAACUAAGAUGAUAAAUUGUAUUAAAAUUGUGUGAGAAGAUGAAUCACAGUCAGUCCCGGGUGUGUAUGUUAGAGGAUUGCAUGUGAUGCGAAUUAAUUGUUUGGUUUGAUAUGCAUUAUUGAAG